AGUGAACGCUGGCGGCGUGCCUAACACAUGCAAGUCGCGCGUGAAAGGGUAGCAAUAUCCGAGUAAAGCGGCGAACGGGUGAGUAACACGUGGUUAACCUGCCGAGAUGUGGGGGAUACCCCGGGGAAACCCGGGCGUAAUACCGCAUGAUGUCUUCCGGGCGUGGGCCUGGAGGAGCAAAGCCGGGGACCGCGAAGGCCUGGCGCGAUUUCGAGGGGACCGCGGCCGAUUAGCUAGUUGGCGGGGUAACGGCCCA
Molecule: ribosomal RNA, 256 nt
Filed under: uncultured bacterium
Lineage: Bacteria
Description: partial 16S ribosomal RNA
Rfam family: Bacterial small subunit ribosomal RNA
Source: RNAcentral